AGUUUGACCUGAGGGUGCAGCGAGUUCGGGUCAACCCGAUAGAUCAGUAGGUGCGAGAAAGCAUAAGCGACUCCGACCCGUUGGUGUAGCUAGUUCUGGUCGGGUCGGGCCACAGUAGGUUCAGUUUGACCCGAGGGUGGGGUGACCCGAGGGACCCCUAAGUUCGGGUCGACCCGAACUCAUUGCACCCGCGGGUCGGAUUUGAUUCCGACUCCGACCUAGCGCUCCCGCUGCACCCACGGGUUGGAAUCGAUUCCGACUGGCUUGCACCUGACUCCGGGUCGGGUCGUGAAAUGAAUCGUAUGACCCAACACUAGUUUAUUUUAACAGGAAUGAACAACAAUUGAACUCAGUUAAACCAAAAUUAACUUUAAACGACUGUUAAAAUGAGUUCAUUUAUUCGCGAUGCCGACUAUUGUUAGAUAAAUAUGUACAUUAGCCAUUUUUAUAUCAAAAAGCGGUGAAAAAACUACUUGAAUUUGAGAUCCGGCACAACCAAGGACUGUGUAGGAACGAAGUCCUAUUAUAUAAAACGAUUUGACAAAGAGCCAAAAGCUCGUUACAAGCAGUUUGACAUCAAAGAGUCCUUUUCGAUUCAAAUUUUAAUUAUGAAUUAUUAAUAAUUAAUCGUCCAGACUGAAAAUUUGCAAGAAAAUUUAUAUUAAAUUGUUAUGGAAUGGAAUUGAGAGUAUUGUGAGAAAAACUCACGAAUUUUCUCGGUUUCUUUCCUAAAAGUAUAUAAAAAUGUGUCGGUUGUGAAUUCAAAUGUGACACGUUAAAAUGUCCGUUUGCUACUGUAUUUAUUUAUUUAUUUAUUUAGAUACAAUUAUCUGCCUCAGAGGGCUAAAUAUAGGGAAACUUACUGACUAAAACUUAAAAUUAAUGAUAACAAACAAAUACUUAAAUCUAACUAGACAAACAUAUACUAGACUGCAAGCAAUUUGUAACACAGGCAACACAAGUAAGAUGAAAGAUUUAGGAUGGGGAAACAAAAAGGGAGUCAAAGAACUGAAGAAAAAGGGGGCGAAGGGAUAGAGGGGAGAUUUGAAAAUCAAACACACCAGAGGCACUGUUGAAGCGAUGGAGGGAUCGAAAAAACGGAUCAAUGGUGCCAUAAAGCGUUCUUCUCGACGGGAUUUGAAGGAAAUCGCGGCGUCGAAGAAAGUGAGCAUACACGUACAGCGGUAUUCUGUUAAGUAGUGAAGGACAAUCAAUCUCGUUCCGAAGCAAACCGCUGAUAAGCAAAGCUUGAGAAGCAGAGCGACGAUCGUGCAGGGUCAUCAAACCAAGCAUACUACAACGGACUUCAUAAGGGGGAAGAGAAGCACCCGAUUGCCCUAAAAGACGCCUAAUGGCAAUACGGGUGAAUCUGCGUUGAACGCUUUCAACCCUUUCAAUCCAUACCGAGCUGACUGGGCACCACACAAUAUUAGUGUAUUCUAAAAUAGGGCGGACUAAGCUACAGAAAAGGUCUUUAAGGCAUAUAGGGUCACGCACAUCUUUUGCCAUAGCACAAAUCAUUCCUAGUACACUAUUGGCAUGGUUAAAGGUGCGCUCCCCAAGCCAAAGCGAGAUGCCCUGUCUUCUCUCUCUAGAUUUUGGAUAGCAAACCGCCGCGCGUGUAGAGGUGUGUGCGUGUGACGAAAAACGAUGGAUGAAAAACGCGAGGAGCGGGGUCCGAAGUUUUUCGUUGGUCACACACACAUGCAUCUACCAGCGGAUUGCGCUACACCGAGUCUACCCAUCUCUCUCAAUCUACCAUGAUUUUUUCUGCUAUCGCACUCAUCCGGGCGUUAGGCAUCCUCAGUCUGUCCAGAACUUUCGUUGUGGAAGGAUGUGCGGGAGUGAUGUGCGAUUUCUUGUGUCCCCUACUUUCGUUGUUUACAUUUUGCGCAGUGUUGCUUCUUCUUCCAUUGUGGAAUGAUUUAUCUUAGCUAACUUGUUGAGUUACAGGUGCAUGCGCUAUUCAUCAACGCCUACCUGUUGGCAUCAUCAACAAUCUUCAAAGUGGGUGACGGAAAGAAAUUGUUUUCCAGUUUUAAAAUAUUAAGCGUUCAGCACAACUCAGCCACAAAACAACGCACUGGAUUGCGCUAAGAACCUGUCGAAACGCGCGCAGCCCCCGGGAGCGGUAGGAGAAAGGAAGAACGAGAGGAGGAAAAACUAAAGCCAGCGCGCAGCUCUGAUGGUACCCCGGACGCGGUAAGAAGAAAAAAGAUCGAGAGGAGGAAGAACGGUAAAUUUGGAAGGGGGAGACCGUUCUGCCGUCUCCACAGUGUGAGUAUGCCAAAGCACGUGUUGGAAGGGAGAGAAAAAGUGUGGAAUAAACCGCAUGCGAAUGUGUGCAUACAGCAAAAAUAAA
Molecule: long non-coding RNA, 2362 nt
Organism: Anopheles arabiensis
Lineage: Eukaryota; Metazoa; Arthropoda; Insecta; Diptera; Culicidae
Exons: 3
Source: RefSeq, a predicted model, not a curated record